This 460-nucleotide ribosomal RNA is filed under the name uncultured bacterium. RNAcentral describes it as "partial 16S ribosomal RNA". It matches the Rfam family "Bacterial small subunit ribosomal RNA", at positions 338 to 795 of the family's 1533-position model. The record is from RNAcentral.
CCUACGGGUGGCAGCAGUGAGGAAUAUUGGUCAAUGGACGGAAGUCUGAUCCAGCCAUGCCGCGUGCAGGAAGACGGCUCUCUGAGUUGUAAACUGCUUUUGUACAAGGGUAAACCUGAAUACGUGUAUUCAUCUGACAGUACUGUACGAAUAAGGAUCGGCUAACUCCGUCCCAUCAGCCGCGGUAAGACUGAGGAUCCAAGCGUUAUCCGGAUUUAUUGGGGUUAAAGGGUGCGUAGGCGGAUUGAUAAGUUAGAGGGGAAAUGUCCGAGCUUAACUCGGGAACUGCCUCUAAUACUGUUGAACUAGAGAGUAGAAGCGGUAGGCGGAAUGUAUGGUGUAGCGGUGAAAUGCUUAGAGAUCAGACAGAACACCGAUUGCGAAGGCAGCUUACCAGUCUAUAUCUGACGUUGAGGCACGAAAGCGUGGGGAGCAAACAGGAUUAGAUACCCGAGUAGUC